Molecule: ribosomal RNA, 495 nt
Filed under: uncultured bacterium
Lineage: Bacteria
Description: partial 16S ribosomal RNA
Rfam family: Bacterial small subunit ribosomal RNA
Source: RNAcentral
GACGAACGCUGGCGGCGUGCCUAAUACAUGCAAGUAGAACGCUGAAGGAGGAGCUUGCUUCUCUGGAUGAGUUGCGAACGGGUGAGUAACGCGUAGGUAACCUGCCUGGUAGCGGGGGGUAACUAUUGGAAACGAUAGCUAAUACCGCAUAACAGUAGAUAUCGCAUGAUAUCUACUUGAAAGGUGCAAUUGCAUCACUACCAGAUGGACCUGCGUUGUAUUAGCUAGUUGGUGAGGUAACGGCUCACCAAGGCGACGAUACAUAGCCGACCUGAGAGGGGGAUCGGCCACACUGGGACUGCGACACGGCCCAGACUCCUACGGGAGGCAGCAGUAGGGAAUCUUCGGCAAUAGACGGAAGUCUGACCGAGCAACGCCGCGUGAGUGAAGAAGGUUUUCGGAUCGUAAAGCUCUGUUGUAAGAGAAGAACGAGUGUGAGAGUGGAAAGUUCACACUGUGACGGUAUCUUACCAGAAAGGGACGGCUAACUACGUG